This 584-nucleotide long non-coding RNA is filed under the name Setaria italica (foxtail millet). Its description in RNAcentral is "long non-coding RNA (SITA_LNC004654)". Lineage: Eukaryota; Viridiplantae; Streptophyta; Magnoliopsida; Poales; Poaceae. The record is from RNAcentral.
ACAAACAAGGAAGACAGAGGAUGUAGGAGUUGCAGGAUAUGGCGUCCGACCGCACGAGGAAGAGCAGCACAGCCCGGCGUUUCGGGCGUCGGAGAUGCGCGGAGAAGCACCCCGUCACCCGUACGGCACGAGGGCCUGACGGCCUUCACUACCCCCGCAUCCCCACUGCGCGCUCAAGGCAGUUGAAGUGCCGGCGCGGCGGCCCGGCCUGACCCCGGCGUCAAUGUACGGAGGGGACGACGAGGACGGCGAAGGCAGCAGCGGAUCCUGGAUGCGGCGGGAGGCUACCCGACGUGGCCGAUGCGGCCACAGGAGAGGUAGGUGUCCUUGCUGCUACUUGACCACGAUGGCGCGACGGAUCGAGGGGAUCGGCCGCGCAUCCUACGAGGGCGCUGUUUCUGGCGGAGAUCGAUCUCCCCGGAGGUAGUGCGAGGACAACGGAAGUCGAAGGUCUACGAUUUGAAUCUAGACUCGUGAUACUAUGUAAGAUUGUGUAUAUUGCGUGGGAUGUAUUGCUUGAGCUCCUUGGACUGAUUAAUAAGAGUACAUAGUUUGGAGGGCAAGUAGUCUCUCCUAGAUUACAA